RNAcentral lists this ribosomal RNA (478 nucleotides) under uncultured bacterium. Its description in RNAcentral is "partial 16S ribosomal RNA". It matches the Rfam family "Bacterial small subunit ribosomal RNA", at positions 28 to 523 of the family's 1533-position model. The record is from RNAcentral.
GAUGAACGCUGGCGGCGUGCUUAACACAUGCAAGUCGAACGGAAAGGCCUCAGCUUGCUGGGGUACUCGAGUGGCGAACGGGUGAGUAACACGUGGGUGAUCUGCCCUGCACUUUGGGAUAAGCUUGGGAAACUGGGUCUAAUACCGAAUAUGACCACUUCUUGGAUGUUGUGGUGGAAAGCUUUUGCGGUGUGGGAUGAGCCUGCGGCCUAUCAGCUUGUUGGUGGGGUAAUGGCCUACCAAGGCGGCGACGGGUAUCCGGCCUGAGAGGGUGUACGGACACAUUGGGACUGAGAUACGGCCCAGACUCCUACGGGAGGCAGCAGUGGGGAAUAUUGCACAAUGGGCGCAAGCCUGAUGCAGCGACGCCGCGUGGGGGAUGACGGCCUUCGGGUUGUAAAGCGCUUUUUUGGGAGAUGAGGAAGGACAGUAUCCCAAGAACAAGGUACGGCUAACUACGUGCCAGCCGCCGCCGUAA